This 320-nucleotide ribosomal RNA is filed under the name uncultured Chloroflexota bacterium. Its description in RNAcentral is "bacterial SSU rRNA". It matches the Rfam family "Bacterial small subunit ribosomal RNA", at positions 28 to 351 of the family's 1533-position model. Lineage: Bacteria; Bacillati; Chloroflexota. The record is from RNAcentral.
GAUAAACGCUGGCGGCGUGCAUGAGACAUGCAAGUCGAACGGUCAGUCGGGCUUGCUCGACUGAUAGUGGCGGACGGCUGAGUAACGCGUAGGUGACCUGCCCCGAAGUGGGGAAUAACUGCCCGAAAGGGUGGCUAAUACCGCAUGUGGUGUCACGUUCGGUCGUGACUCCAAAGCCGCAAGGCGCUUCGGGAGGGGCCUGCGUCCGAUUAGCUCGUUGGUGGGGUAACGGCUCACCAAGGCGACGAUCGGUAGGUGGUCUGAGAGGACGAUCACCCAGACUGGGACUGAGACACGGCCCAGACUCCUACGGGAGGCAG